GCGCGCCUCCUGCCUACAUAACAUCGUCCCCAUUCUUCAAGAAAUGAGAACGUCUAAAAAACUCUCCUUGGGUGGCAGCUACUCAAGACCAUGUGUUGCAGUUCAAAGCUGGACGUGAAGUUGGUGUUGGGCCGUGAUCGUGAAUGAAGAAUUGAACCCCUUCAAUUCACGUGCUACACCAUUUCCUUAUGGACGCUGCUGGAUGUGUCUUCUGGAUCAGAACCAGG
This 227-nucleotide long non-coding RNA is filed under the name Vigna radiata. RNAcentral's name for it is "long non-coding RNA (VRAD_LNC015171)". Lineage: Eukaryota; Viridiplantae; Streptophyta; Magnoliopsida; Fabales; Fabaceae. The record is from RNAcentral.